Solanum dulcamara is the source of this 408-nucleotide long non-coding RNA. RefSeq lists it as uncharacterized. The record is from RefSeq and is a predicted model, not a curated record. The transcript is spliced from 2 exons. Lineage: Eukaryota; Viridiplantae; Streptophyta; Magnoliopsida; Solanales; Solanaceae.
CCCCGGGCAACCUCUUCGACCUGCUCCAAAUGGAAUUAACUCAUAGUCUUCUUUCUUGAAAUCAAUAUCGCUAUUCAAGAAUCUCUCAGGCUGUCAUUGCCCAUACUACUACAGCUGCACUAGUGUCUGAUCCAGCAACUAACACAUUCUACAAAAAAAUUGGGAAGAAAAUAAAAAUUGUCAAUACAAUGGACACAUUUAUGCUACAUAUUAGAGGUGAUAAAAUUAAUAUCCAUCUUUUAUUAAUAUCGCCCAACUAAAUUUAUACAGGUUGUGGAUUGAUCCGUUUAUUAACUUGACUUAACAGGUUAAAUUCAAAAUGUCAUGGCUGUAGGAAGGAUCCCAAGAAUCGAUCUUCCUUUUUGUUGUUAAAUUUUUCUUUGAUUAAUCAAUGUACGUUAUUCCAAA